CUACGGGGCGCUGCAGUGAGGAAUAUUGCACAAUGGGGGGAACCCUGAUGCAGCAACGCCGCGUGGAGGAUGACGCAUUUCGGUGUGUAAACUCCUUUUAUAUGUCAAGAGAAUGACGGUAGCAUAUGAAUAAGCACCGGCUAACUCCGUGCCAGCAGCCGCGGUAAUACGGAGGGUGCAAGCGUUACUCGGAAUCACUGGGCGUAAAGGACGCGUAGGCGGGUUGGAAAGUCAGGUGUGAAAUCCUACAGCUUAACUGUAGAACUGCACUUGAAACUUCUAAUCUAGAGUAUGGGAGGGGGAGAUGGAAUUAGUGGUGUAGGGGUAAUAUCCGUAGAUAUCACUAGGAAUACCUAAAGCGAAGGCGAUCUCCUGGAACAUUACUGACGCUAAGGCGUGAAAGCGUGGGGAGCAAACAGGAUUAGAUACCCGCGUAGUC
This 439-nucleotide ribosomal RNA is filed under the name uncultured bacterium. RNAcentral's name for it is "partial 16S ribosomal RNA". It matches the Rfam family "Bacterial small subunit ribosomal RNA", at positions 339 to 795 of the family's 1533-position model. The record is from RNAcentral.